GCCACCGCAGCCCAGGGCGGCGCCGUUGUCUCUGGGCCGGCGCGGCCGCCGCGCUCGCCUCCUCGCUCGCCCACCGAGCGCUUCACCCAGGGGCGGGCCCGUGAGCAGCCCGGAGGCGGAGGCCGCGGCAUCGACGGUUUGAGCGCCGCCGCUGCAUUGGUGGACCGCAAAGGAAAGAGAAAGAUCGGAGAAGGAUCUUUUACAGUCUCUGAUGAUCGGGAACAGGCACGAAGGAAGGAGGAGAGGACAUCUGAUUCCCCCAAAGUGAAGCUUCUCAGGAGUAGCAUUCGUGCGUAUCAUGGCGACGCCGAGGAGAAGCUUUCAGAUAGAAAAGGAGAACCAGUGAACUACCCGUUUCAUAAUUGCGGGGCAAGCACAUCAAAACUGCCUGCUCAUGUGUAUCACAAGAAAAUUCCCAUGGGAGAAGCUGCAAAUCAUUAUUUCAGGAACAUUGAUAAUUCUUUCCAGCAACCGGAAGUUGGUUUGCGUUUAAAGUAUCUCAGCCAUCACUAUUCAGAAUUUAGGCCAGUACAUAGAGAUGAGGAAUGUUUCUAUAGGAGUUUCAUAUUUUCCUACCUGGCAUUUGAGAGGCUGAUAGAGAAAAUAAAGGGAUGGAAGCGCAUGCAGGAGCACCCAAUAUCAAUAAUCAGAUUAGUAGCAGCUACCUGGAUGUGCACGCGCAUAUGGAAUUAUGAAUGGUGUGCAACUAAUUGUGGAGAAAAUCAGAAUCUGGAAGAUUGGUGCUCGAAGCACGUAAUUGCUCCUCGUGUGUACGCAACCUCUGCUGCAGUAAAAGCUUGUGCAGAAGCUCUCAGGGUGACCGUCCAAGUGGAGAACGUUCAUGAUGGAACUUGCGAAAGUACGCACUACAUUGUCCGCGGCGCUCCUCGCGUGACCUUGCUGCGCAUAGAGUCUCACUAUGACAUCAUCUACCCACUCCCUCCUAGUUCUAUUAAUAGUUCAAAUCCACAUGAGGAGAAGUUACUCCCAAUCCCAAGUAGCAUUCUUGCGUAUGACAGGAGAAAGAUUUUCGAUAGAAAACAAAAGCAUCUGGACCGCUCCAAUCAAAAUACUAGAGCAAGCACCUCAAAAUCACCGCCUCAUGAGGAUCAAAAGCGUUCAGGUAGAAAAAGAAAGCGACCUGGCUGCUCCAAUCAAAAUCCUAGAGCAAGCAUGUCAAAAUCAUCGCUUCGCAAGGAUCAUAAGUCCUCAGCUCUUGCAACUUUAGUUGAUACUAGAAGAAGAACGAGGUUAACAGAUACUAUCAUUCCUCCUGGAUGCGGAAGGACAAGGAAAUAUGAAAUCACAAGAAUGAGCACUCGACUUGUGUUACGAAGAAGUGUUAGGUCCCUUUACAAGUUGCACAGUCAGUCAAACUCACUCGCUGGUCGAUUCUCAUUGAGAAAUUUUCUGAUAAGUGAAGAGAUGACCAUUGAAAUGGAUGAGUUUCAAGCUGAUGAUUUAGACCCCUAUACAAAGGCCAAUGCAGAGGUUGACUUUUAUCAAUAUGUGAAGACUAUUGAAGAACUCUUUGAAUCUUUACCAGUUCCUGAAGAUAUUCACAGAUGGCUAAGUAUGAUUAUGAGAGAUCCAACUGCUUAUCAGUAUCUGAUAUGCUAUCACUACUGUUUGAUGGAAGAGCACCAAAUGAUGCAUGUCUUUACAUCAUUGUACAAUAAACUGCUAGUAUUGCCAACAACAGACCCAGCAGGAUACAAUUUUGUGCUUGAACGUCUCAAGAUAUUCUCUGGUUGGAGCCCGAUGGAUCUUCACAACGUUUAUUUCAUUGAAACCUUUUACUGGAAAGAUCCCAUCACGGGCGUACCAAUCAUCUACGGAGAUGAUGUUCUCUCCUUGCUGAGAUUGGUAAGAAAUACUUAUCAGCAUUUCAUGUCGAAGGUGGUAGAGGGCAGGAAACUACUCUUCUCUGAAAAAGAUUUCGGGAAUAUGGUCAACGAACAAUUUUCUGGGCUUCUUGACGAACUUUUUGAAGCGAUGUUCAUUGCCACGUAUUAUGCUGACUUACAACUUGAGCAUACAAUGGUGUAAAUUGAUAAGGAGAAGAAGUGACCUGCUGCUGAUUUCUGACGGGCGUGAGCUAAACCAGUUAAGAGUACGCAUGGUGUAAAUGAUGAGAGAAGUGGACAGUAGCUGAUUGUUAACAGCCAAUGAGCUAAACAGAGCUGUGUUUUAGUUGAACCUGUGCAGUAACGAGAUCCUUAUUGUUUUUUUGUUAAAUGUGACAUGCUGUGCAUGUGGAAUUGUUCAGUAUGUGAGUUCAUCUAUAGUAUGAAAGUGUUCUUUGAUCUAACAUUAUCUGUGAGUUCUAAAAUCACUUCC
This 2340-nucleotide long non-coding RNA is filed under the name Oryza sativa Indica Group (long-grained rice). Its description in RNAcentral is "lncRNA OsPr106_02g0018520". The record is from RNAcentral. Lineage: Eukaryota; Viridiplantae; Streptophyta; Magnoliopsida; Poales; Poaceae.